This 244-nucleotide ribosomal RNA is filed under the name uncultured prokaryote. Its description in RNAcentral is "partial 16S ribosomal RNA". It matches the Rfam family "Bacterial small subunit ribosomal RNA", at positions 439 to 700 of the family's 1533-position model. The record is from RNAcentral.
GUGGUGAAGAUAAUGACGGUAGCCACAAAAGAAGCACCGGCUAACUACGUGCCAGCAGCCGCGGUAAUACGUAGGGUGCAAGCGUUGUCCGGAUUUAUUGGGCGUAAAGCGUCCGUAGGCGGUUUGGUAAGUCUAAUGUUAAAUACCGGAGCUCAACUCCGGACAAGCAUUGGAUACUGCCAGGCUAGAGUUUGGUAGAGGUAAGGGGAAUUCCUGGUGUAGCGGUGAAAUGCGUAGAUAUCAG